UGAGGAAUAUUGGUCAAUGGGCGGAAGCCUGAACCAGCCAAGUCGCGUGAGGGAAGACGGUCCUAUGGAUUGUAAACCUCUUUUGCAGGGGAGCAAGACCUGUUACGUGUAACAGGUUGGAGAGUACCCUGAGAAAAAGCAUCGGCUAACUCCGUGCCAGCAGCCGCGGUAAUACGGGGAUGGACGAUGCGUAGUCCGGAUCUAUUCGGGACUUUAAAUGGGGUUUAAGGGUGCGUAGGCGGGCUGGUAAGUCAGCGGUAAAAAUGCGGUGCUCAACGCCGUAGUGCCGUUGAAACUGCCGGUCUUGAGUGAGCGAGAAGUAUGCGGAAUGCGUGGUGUAGCGGUGAAAUGCAUAGAUAUCACGCAGAACUCCGAUUGCGAAGGCAGCAUACCGGCGCUCAACUGACGCUGAGGCACGAAAGCGUGGGGAUCGAACAGGAUUAGAUACC
RNAcentral lists this ribosomal RNA (449 nucleotides) under uncultured bacterium. RNAcentral describes it as "bacterial SSU rRNA". It matches the Rfam family "Bacterial small subunit ribosomal RNA", at positions 355 to 786 of the family's 1533-position model. The record is from RNAcentral.